RNAcentral lists this long non-coding RNA (229 nucleotides) under Panax ginseng (ginseng). RNAcentral describes it as "long non-coding RNA (PGIN_LNC012568)". Lineage: Eukaryota; Viridiplantae; Streptophyta; Magnoliopsida; Apiales; Araliaceae. The record is from RNAcentral.
CUAAGUUCCAAACCAAGAACAUGAAGUAAAUAUGAAAGCCCAAAUGAUGUCCGGUUUGCUAUUCUUUGCAUUUUCUUUGCUUUUCCUUACCAAUAGUCGCUCACACCGCUCCCAAACGUAUAACCUACAAAAUGAACACAAAAUGCAUGAAAAGUAACUAAGACACAUAAAUAUAAGCAACUAAUUCAAGUAAAAGAUACUGGAUAAGUGUAUAUAAAAUCCACUUAUC